This 253-nucleotide ribosomal RNA is filed under the name uncultured bacterium. RNAcentral describes it as "partial 16S ribosomal RNA". It matches the Rfam family "Bacterial small subunit ribosomal RNA", at positions 524 to 776 of the family's 1533-position model. The record is from RNAcentral.
UACAGAGGGUGCGAGCGUUGUUCGGAAUUAUUGGGCGUAAAGGGUCCGUAGGCGGUGUAGCAAGUCGAUAGUGAAAUCUCUGGGCUUAACCCAGAGGCUGCUAACGAAACUGCUGUGCUAGAGUGUGAGAGAGGCGAGUGGAAUUACGGGUGUAGCGGUGAAAUGCGUAGAUAUCCGUAGGAACAUCCGAGGCGAAGGCGGCUCGCUGGAUCACAACUGACGCUGAGGGACGAAAGCUAGGGGAGCAAACAGG